RNAcentral lists this ribosomal RNA (451 nucleotides) under uncultured bacterium. RNAcentral's name for it is "bacterial SSU rRNA". It matches the Rfam family "Bacterial small subunit ribosomal RNA", at positions 958 to 1399 of the family's 1533-position model. The record is from RNAcentral.
AACGCGAAGAACCUUACCAGGCCUUGACAUGCAUUUCUAAGUUGGUGAAAGCCAGCGAGUCCGGGAAACCGGACAACUUGCACAGGUGCUGCAUGGCUGUCGUCAGCUCGUGUCGUGAGAUGUUGGGUUAAGUCCCGCAACGAGCGCAACCCUUGUGAACUGUUGCCACCGGUCCGUGAGGACCGAGCACUCUGUUCAGACUGCCCUGUGAAACGGGGAGGAAGGUGAGGACGACGUCAAGUCAGGAUGGCCCUUACGGCCUGGGCUGCACACGUACUACAAUGCUCAGUACAGAAUGAUCCGAUACCGCGAGGUGGAGGAAAUCCCUAAAACUGAGCCCAAUUCGGAUUGAAGGCUGCAACUCGCCUUCAUGAAGCCGGAAUCGCUAGUAAUGGCGCAUCAGCUACGGCGCCGUGAAUACGUUCCCGGGCCUUGUACACACCGCGUGUCU